CGCCAGGUCAGCUUCAUCUUCUGAGCUGCUGCGAGGCCUGACCGUCUGGUACUUGUCGGGCAAAAGCAUGUCUUCUUCAUCGGACACUUCGUACCUGCGAGAGAAGCAAGAGCAAGGAAGGCCCUGUCCUGACUCGCCUCCAGAUGCACUAUUUCGUCAUCAGACGCACUACUUCGUCAUUCCCUUGGACGGCUGCUAUUGGCUGAUAGCUGGCAUCAAGCUGCAGUCGGCUACACGGCGUGGAUACCACGGCCGCCAUGGGGUGCCGCCACGAGUCCACAGGCUAAGCACGCUGAUGCUCGCUGAGGAGAACUGCAUUUGGCUUACGUUUAGUAGUGCGUCGUAGGCAUCGAAGGCUGAAGUUGUGGCAUCCACGUUAACGUCCAAAAUGAAAUUUGAA
Molecule: long non-coding RNA, 400 nt
Organism: Dermacentor andersoni
Lineage: Eukaryota; Metazoa; Arthropoda; Arachnida; Ixodida; Ixodidae
Source: RefSeq, a predicted model, not a curated record